GUGGGGAAUUUUGGACAAUGGGGGCAACCCUGAUCCAGCCAUGCCGCGUGAGUGAAGAAGGCCUUCGGGUUGUAAAGCUCUUUCAGGUGGAAAGAAAUCGCAUCUUUUAAUACAGGGUGUGGAUGACGGUACCAUCAGAAGAAGCACCGGCUAACUACGUGCCAGCAGCCGCGGUAAUACGUAGGGUGCGAGCGUUAAUCGGAAUUACUGGGCGUAAAGCGUGCGCAGGCGGUUAUGUAAGACAGAUGUGAAAUCCCCGGGCUCAACCUGGGAACUGCGUUUGUGACUGCAUAACUAGAGUACGGCAGAGGGAGGUGGAAUUCCGCGUGUAGCAGUGAAAUGCGUAGAGAUGCGGAGGAACACCGAUGGCGAAGGCAGCCUCCUGGGCCAGUACUGACGCUCAUGCACGAAAGCGUGGGGAGCAAACAGG
RNAcentral lists this ribosomal RNA (430 nucleotides) under uncultured bacterium. RNAcentral describes it as "bacterial SSU rRNA". It matches the Rfam family "Bacterial small subunit ribosomal RNA", at positions 354 to 776 of the family's 1533-position model. The record is from RNAcentral.